Long non-coding RNA from Mercenaria mercenaria, 1869 nucleotides. RefSeq lists it as uncharacterized. The record is from RefSeq and is a predicted model, not a curated record. The transcript has 3 exons. Lineage: Eukaryota; Metazoa; Mollusca; Bivalvia; Venerida; Veneridae.
UGUAACAAUCAAAUGAUUAUUUAGUCAUUUAAAGGGAAUUCCUAUAGUUUUUUAUGCGCAUCUUUCUGCGCAGCCUACACUUUCUAUGGAAAACUGAACUGAAGUCAACAUUUGUUGAAACAUGUUACAGACAAUCUUAAAUAUGAGGAAUUUUGAAUGAAAUAACAUUUUUGAUAAGUUAUAUCAGUAAUCAAAUGUUGAUACUGGUUUAUGUUGUAUUGACAAGUAUCAUGCCUGACAGGUAUCUUGCUAUUUUUGUGGUUGUGUUUUCACAUCGCAUUUUAGUACAAAGACAGUGUUGUUCAUAUAAUGUAAGAUAAUUGACUUAGUACUGAUAAGACAAUAUCAUCAUUCAGAUUAUUUAGUAUUCAAUUAUAGAAAGAAUUAAGAAAUUUUAAAACUUUUUUUAAACUUUUAGCAGACAUACAUGUAAUCAAUUUGGCCAGGUUCGCGCCAUUUCCGUCCGAACUGGUGUUGUAUUCUAGCGGUCUUAACAUAAAAUUUAGCCUGGUGACCCAUACAUUUUUAGCCAUUUUUAUGCUCACAAUACAAUUAUCUAUACACAAGAAGAAAAAGAAAAAAUUCUAUGAAAGAGUUUUUUCAAAAUUUAAAAACAAAUAUUCUUCACUAUGGGUAUUUUUCAUUGAAAAAAGUUCACAGAAGUAAAUAUAAAACAAUAUUUUUUUCAUUUGUACCCAUUAUUGUAAGGAUAGAGUAUUACAAAUAUGACUAUGAUAUCAAAUAAGUAUAUAAUAAAAUCUGUAAAAAGAAAAAACCGUAUUGUGCUGCCUGGAUGUAUAUUUUGGUUGGUAUUUAUAAAAAAGCAGAAAAUUAUGAAAAUGUUGAAAAAUCGCUGUCAGUUUCAGCAACAGUGACACCGUUCAAAACAAUUUUUCACAAAAACAAGCCUGGUGACCUAAUGUUUUUAUUUGUUCAUUGUUUUCAGCACCAAUUUUCCUAUCAUAUAUGUGAAUUUAAAAAAAUUCUAUGAAAGGAAAAAAAAUAUAGGAAUUCUCUUUAAAUGAAACCAUCGGAUGUUUCUCUCUGCAUCUAAUAUGGAUAAGACAGGCUGCUACUGCGUAACAUACUGCCAUCAAUGUAAAAUCGUUCGUUAACCUUCACAGAUAGGCUAACUAUAGAUUAAAGUCAAAAUGAAUAAGUUACAAAGCAUAUUCUAGCAUAAAACUGCUAUUUUGUUAUUUUUAAGUUGUGUUUUAACAGAAGAGUAAACUUUCGUUAACAAAGAGAUUCUCGCGCUUACAUGCUGUUAACACACUUUUUUUUUUAUAUAUAUGUGCGUUCCAUGGCAAAGCGUAAGGUAUUGCGGCCCCAUGAUGGAUAAUUCGAACGAAAUGACGUCAACUUGAUCAGACAUUGCUGACGUUCCCGCGCAUUUCAUGGACAUUUAAUGACGUUGACACGUACGAUGCUCUAGUUGGCAGUGGUAUCUAUGGCGAGGCUGCCCAUGUGCCAAGUGAAGCUUUAUUUGAAAUGAUAAGGCUUGUUAAACCAGGGGGUGCAUUGUCCUGACAACAAGACGUCAUCUUGUGACUGACGGAAUUGCUUAUACAGAUCUUGAGCCUCUGAUGGACAAAUUGGAGACGGAUGGAAAGUGGCAGAAGAUAUCACGUGACAUAUAUUCCGGAUGUUAUUAUGAUCUAGAUGGAAUAGUUUGGUGCUAUCAAGUUUUGUGAAUGUUGAUACGCGGUUGACCUCGUCAUAAAAUGUAAUAUUACAAAUAUUAUCACCUCUAGCACAAUUAUUCAUAUACGAGCGACUAAUAUAAACAGCUUAAAUAUUCACAUAAUCUUAAAAGUGUAUAGCCUUCGCAUACACAAAACAAUAUCUAAAUUAAAUUUUCAAAAUAGA